GCCGGCGACCGGCGGAUGGGUGCGUAACGCGUAUGCAACCUACCUUAUACAGGGGAAUAACCUUUCGAAAGGGAGACUAACACCCCAUGGUAUUGAUUUAAGGCAUCGUUAGAUUAAUUAAAUAUUUAUAGGUAUAAGAUGGGCAUGCGUAUGAUUAGCUAGUUGGUAAGGUAACGGCUUACCAAGGCGACGAUCAUUAGGGGUUCUGAGAGGAAGGUCCCCCACACUGGUACUGAGACACGGACCAGACUCCUACGGGAGGCAGCAGUGAGGAAUAUUGGUCAAUGGGCGCAAGCCUGAACCAGCCAUGCCGCGUGCAAGGAAGACGGCCUUAUGGGUUGUAAACUGCUUUUACAUAAGACUAACCGUAUAUUUGCGAAUAUACCUGAAUGUAUUAUGAGAAUAAGGAUCGGCUAACUCCGUGCCAGCCGCUGC
RNAcentral lists this ribosomal RNA (435 nucleotides) under uncultured bacterium. Its description in RNAcentral is "bacterial SSU rRNA". It matches the Rfam family "Bacterial small subunit ribosomal RNA", at positions 87 to 518 of the family's 1533-position model. The record is from RNAcentral.